UGGUGCCUUCGGGAACUGUGAGACAGGUGCUGCAUGGCUGUCGUCAGCUCGUGUUGUGAAAUGUUGGGUUAAGUCCCGCAACGAGCGCAACCCUUAUCCUUUGUUGCCAGCGAUUAGGUCGGGAACUCAAAGGAGACUGCCAGUGAUAAACUGGAGGAAGGUGGGGAUGACGUCAAGUCAUCAUGGCCCUUACGACCAGGGCUACACACGUGCUACAAUGGCGCAUACAAAGAGAAGCGACCUCGCGAGAGCAAGCGGACCUCAUAAAGUGCGUCGUAGUCCGGAUUGGAGUCUGCAACUCGACUCCAUGAAGUCGGAAUCGCUAGUAAUCGUGGAUCAGAAUGCCACGGUGAAUACGUUCCCGGGCCUUGUACACACCGCCCGUCACACCAUGGGAGUGGGUUGCAAAAGAAGUAGGUAGCUUAACCUUCGGGAGGGCGCUUACCACUUUGUGAUUCAUGACUGGGGUGAAGUCGUAACAAGGUAACCGUAGGGGAACCUGC
RNAcentral lists this ribosomal RNA (503 nucleotides) under Salmonella enterica subsp. enterica. Its description in RNAcentral is "bacterial SSU rRNA". It matches the Rfam family "Bacterial small subunit ribosomal RNA", at positions 1012 to 1515 of the family's 1533-position model. RNAcentral also lists the same sequence under 2 other names. The record is from RNAcentral. Lineage: Bacteria; Pseudomonadati; Pseudomonadota; Gammaproteobacteria; Enterobacterales; Enterobacteriaceae.